This 1521-nucleotide ribosomal RNA is filed under the name Triticum aestivum (bread wheat). RNAcentral describes it as "partial small subunit ribosomal RNA". Lineage: Eukaryota; Viridiplantae; Streptophyta; Magnoliopsida; Poales; Poaceae. The record is from RNAcentral.
AUGGAGAGAGCAUCUCAAAUCACCUUCUUCCUGUUACUCAUCAUCCACUCCGGCAUAGCUCAAAAUGCUACCACGAGUGGAGCAGAUGAGUUCCCCGUUGGAGUGAUCCUCAACUUGGAAUCAUUGCGGGGCAAGAUGGCGCGGACCAGCCUUUUGAUGGCUCUGGAAGACUUCUAUACGGUCCACAGAAACUACAGCCCGAAGGUAGUUCUCCACAUCAGGGACUCCAAAAGUAACAGCGUAGAAGCUGCAUCAGCAGCUCUCGACCUGCUAGAGAAUUACAAUGUCCAAGCUAUCAUAGGCCCUCAAACAUCUUCACAAGCAGCAUUUGUAUCGGAUCUCGGGAAUAAAAGUCAGAAAUACGAUAUAGCAAUUGGAGACAUAACAAUCUCAGAGAACAGAAUGUCUUAUGUCGACUUCGCUCUACCGUACACAGAAUCAGGAGUGGCAAUGGUUGUUCCAGCCAAGAGCAGCAGAACUAACAACACAUGGAUUUUCGUUGAGCCAUUAUCACGUGACCUGUGGCUCGGAAGUAUCAUAUUAUUUUUCUACACAUGGGUUGUUCUCUGGCUAUUGGAGUUUCUUGGAAAUAACACAAAUAUCCCGGACGAAGUUCCCAGAAAGCUCGGGAUUAUGACCUUCUUUUCCCUGUUUGGAGACAAGGACAGAGUGGAACGCUUACUAUCUCGGAUAGUUUUGAUUGUAUGGGUAUUUUUCUUCCUUGUAUUGUCAGCAAGCUACACCGCGAACUUGGCAACGAUGCUUACCAUACGACAGCUAAAUCCAACUAUAACUGAUAUCCAUGAACUCCGUAAAAGUGGGGAGUAUGUAGGAUGCAUUCGUGGUUCCUACGUCGAGAGAAUAUUGGAACAACUCAAUUUCGACGGAUCGAAGAUCAAGACCUAUAAUACCUAUGAUGGAUUUUACAGUGCACUCUCAAAGGGAAGCAAAAAUGGUGGAAUUGCUGCGUUCAUUCAUGAAGUCCCAUACAUCAGAUUAUUUCUUGCAAGGAACUGCAAAGGGUACACUAUGGUUCCAUUUUAUAAAGCAGCGGGUUUUGGAUAUGCAUUUCCAAAAGGAUCUCCUCUAGUUGGGGACAUCUCAAAGGCAAUCCUGAGCGUAAUAGGAGGAGACACUAUUAAUCAAAUUGAGAAGAAAUGGAUCGGAAUCGGAUAUCAAAACAACUGCAACAAUGCGGGGCGUGCACCUGAUCCAGAAAAACUCACACCUGAUGGUUUUACAGGACUUUUUAUACUUAGUGGAGUUGUUUCAACUUCUUCUCUUCUGAUAGCCGUGGUGAUUUACUUUUAUGAAAAGAAAAACUCAACAACUAAGACGCAACCUGAACCAAAGGGAGAUCAGGCAGAAGGAAAUGAAAGAGGUAAUGAAGCUGGAGAAGAGAUGCAAAACAUAGGUCUACAACCAAGUGGCCACAGGCACAAUGCUUCAGCUGUCUCUUGGGGGUUUAGAAGAAGUUUUGGCACAAGAGUGGCACCUGUUUCAAGUUCAAGUCGUUUCUAG